This is a non-coding RNA of Nylanderia fulva, 1359 nucleotides long. NCBI's taxonomy places the organism in Eukaryota, Metazoa, Arthropoda, Insecta, Hymenoptera, Formicidae. The record is from RefSeq and is a predicted model, not a curated record.
AUCGUCACUCUUUAAAAUUAAUAUUUAUCAAACAAUAUAUACUUCUUUUUUAACUUCUCUAUUUUUAUGAGAAUUAGAGUGGCACCGUGAAUGACGAUAUAUAUCAAAUUUGAAAUUUUACUUUAUCCCAGUAAAUAGAUGUUUAUAACACAAUAUAACCGUGCGGUAUAAUUAUAAUAGAGUAAUUGCAAUAAAAUACCCAAUUCUUCUACGCUGUAAUGUGUAUGACCUUCGACCUCCACAAUCUCUCCUCUUCCUAACUGAUUGGUUGCCCACACUCGAAAUGAGUACGUAGUGUUUGGCACCAAAUGGUACACGUCUAUUUGUCUCUUUAAAAUAAUAAUAAGAAAGAAUCGUUAGUUUUAGUCUAAUUAAUUUACAGGAGAUGGAAUAACUCUGUAAUGCUGUCACAAAUUUUCAUUCUUACAUAACGUUAUAUACAUAUAUCUUCUUCUAAUUUCUUAAUAUAAAUAUAAAAUAUAAACAAACAAAAUUUGUCUAUAGUAUGAGUUGUAAAAAUUAUAAUUAAAAAAAAUAAACCGUCAUGUUCGACUUAUCUCGGCGUUACGUUUUCCAUCCCUGUUUUUCUAUUCUACUAUUUCAAAUAGUUUGCAAUAUUUACAGAAUUUGGAGGAAUGUGUGUUGGAAUAAUAGGUUUCCACUCUUCCGGCUCCUCGCCUGCAGCUGGUUUCAAACGAUAUUCGGCAGUGAAAUCUAUGAUAGGAUAACCGCCAGUUCCAGCCACUUCCCAGAGAAUGUUAGCCAAUAUUGUGGAUGGUUUAACCCAUACAUUGUGCAAGGCUGGAGGAGGUGCUAAACAUAGAAGAAAGCUAUCAUUAUAAAAUCUGGAGAAAAUACUUACUUUAAAAGUGAUUGAUUAACAAUAUUGCAAACGAUUUUGCAAACGCACUUCUGAUUUCCACGUUGAUUCUGGCUUUCACAGCAUCAUGGUCACCGUCCAGGCGAGUGCACGAAUAAUUGCCGGCGUCAUGCACACUAACAUUCAAUAGCAACAGCAUGCCAUUUCGCUCGACCUUCAGUCGCUCGAUCUGCCCAUCCUCUCGUCCCUCUCUUACCCACAUUACUUUUGCAUUCAAGUCUUCGGAAAGGACAUUCUCGUCGGCGCAAGCCAGCUGCAGGUCUCUACCCACGUCCACGGCGACGUGCCGCAUCGGUACGUCCACGGCCACUGCCUCCUGCCAUCCUACAAAUUCAUAAAUUUCAUUGCAAGAUUGUUCACUUUUAUUGUACGAUUCUAUCAAGACAUAUUGAGAAAAUUAAUUUGCGAUCUUGAACUGUAUAUCAACUAACAGAAAUUUAAAUUUGUUGCUUGUUCAGAAUAUAAUUUAUAAGUAAAUA